CGGCGGAGGGGAGCCGUGUGGGCGCCGCGGAGGACUUUCCUAUAAAAGCAGGAAUCCCACGGCCAACCGAGCUUGUCUCUCUGUCACAGGCAAGACAAGAGCCGCGAGUCCCCGCCAGCAGCUGCGUUAUUUCUCCCGCCACAGCUCGGAAAAGCAUCCCGACCUCACCUAAUAGGAAAGCUUUAGUCUAUGGUUCUGACUGACGCUCCAACAAGGAUGUCCCGGACCGACGAGGUGCACCGUAUAACGGAGAAUGUCUACAAGUCCAUCAUGGAGCAGUUCAACCCCUGCUUACGGAACUUCAUAGCCAUGGGGAAGAGCUACGAGAAGGCGCUGACCAGUGUCACAUUUGCUGCAAAGGGCUACUUCGACGCUCUGGUGCGGAUGGGCGAGAUGGCCAGCGAAAGUCAAGGCUCUAAGGAUCUUG
This is a long non-coding RNA of Notothenia coriiceps (black rockcod), 427 nucleotides long. RefSeq lists it as uncharacterized. The record is from RefSeq and is a predicted model, not a curated record. Lineage: Eukaryota; Metazoa; Chordata; Actinopteri; Perciformes; Nototheniidae. The transcript is spliced from 3 exons.